GCUUUGAAGUCCCAUUUGGAAAGCCCAGUGAGGACUGCUUUCACAUGGGCCAGCCAGAGCCCCACCAUUCAGAGAGAAUUUGUAAGGGACUCCAGGUCCAAGAACUCAGACAAAGAUUUCUUGUUUCUAUAACCUGCCUCCUGGAAGCUUCUGAAGGGCUGUUAGUGGAACCUGAGGUGGGCAGCAGUAACAAGUGGUGAUUGAUAUCAGGUGAGGAAACUGAGUCAAUGAGUGAUAUUGGGUGAUUUGCUCAGGGAUAAACCAUAAGUUCACAGAACAGAUGUGAUUGAAAUGCAGGUUCUAAAUUGACCUCAAGCACACUUUCCACACUUUUUGCUGGAAGCUGUUAGUUGUGUUAUCCUCACUGAUUUACCCAGAAGACUCUGCAGAGAUUUUUUAGAUCUCCUUUCCCCCUUCUCCCCACAUCCUUCUCAAGCAGCCCUGCAAUGUAUUUUUACUGGAGGUGUCCAAUCAACACAGGUGAUGACAAAAAAAUAAACACCUAUGUGCCAUGGACUGUGGUAUUUUCUAGUAUUUUAUUACACACAAGAGUAAAACAAUUCAUGCUAAAAAGUGUUCCUUUUUGUGUUUCCUUCUAUGUUAUACUGUAGGCAGCUGUUCACUUUGCCUAGUUCUGAUCCCAAGUCUACUUCCAACUGAAAGGAAAAAGAAAAAGAAUUACCAAAGUCCAGUGGUAAAACAGAGUUCAGGAUGACUGGCAAUGUCCUGGAAUGAAGGGAUGACCUUGGCAUCUCUGUUUAACCAAGCUCUAGGCACUCCACAGUGCCCAUUUCAGCUGACUCCAUGGCCACUGGGACAAAUUAUUCUCAUUUGCCCAUUCCACUGGGUCAUUUUGAAGGAGGAGGAGGAAGAGGAGAAGAAGAAGGAAAAGAAGAAGAAGAAGAGAGGAGGAGGAGGAGGAGGAGGGGAAGGAGAAGAAGAUGGAAGAGGAAGAGGAAAAGAAAGAAAAAAAGAAAAUAAAAGCUUUUUCAGAUUGUAUUUAGAUUCCAUCAGUUCUUUCUCCAAGGGCAAAUUACAUUUUUUCAUAAUGGAUCUCUGGAAUUGUCUUGGAUCACUGCAUAGCUGGGAAUAACUGUCAUUCACAGUUGUACAUCAAGAAAUAUUGCUGACACUGUGUACUAUGUUCUUCUGGUUCUGCUUAUUUUACUCUAUACCAGUUCAUGUAAGUCUUUUCAGAUUUUUUUCGGAAACAAAUCUACUUGUUAUUUCUUAUAGCAAAAUAAUAUUCCAUCACUAUCAUAACUUAUUCAGUCAUUCCCCAAUUGAUGGGCAACUCUUCUACUUCCAAUGCUUUGUUACUGCCAAAAAGCUGCAAUAAAUAUUUUUGUACAAAUAGGUCCCUUUUGCUC
This 1370-nucleotide long non-coding RNA is filed under the name Monodelphis domestica (gray short-tailed opossum). RNAcentral describes it as "lncRNA (ENSMODG00000043001.1)". The record is from RNAcentral. Lineage: Eukaryota; Metazoa; Chordata; Mammalia; Didelphimorphia; Didelphidae.